UACCAGCACCCCGAGUGGUCGGGACGAUUAUUGGGCCUAAAGCAUCCGUAGCCGGUCCUACAAGUCUUCCGUUAAAUCCACCUGCUUAACAGAUGGGCUGCGGAAGAUACUAUAGGGCUAGGAGGCGGGAGAGGCAAGCGGUACUCAGUGGGUAGGGGUAAAAUCCGUUGAUCCAUUGAAGACCACCAGUGGCGAAGGCGGCUUGCCAGAACGCGCUCGACGGUGAGGGAUGAAAGCUGGGGGAGCAAACCGG
This 253-nucleotide ribosomal RNA is filed under the name uncultured bacterium. RNAcentral's name for it is "partial 16S ribosomal RNA". It matches the Rfam family "Archaeal small subunit ribosomal RNA", at positions 474 to 727 of the family's 1478-position model. The record is from RNAcentral.